UCGAACGGCACCCACCUCCGGGUGGAAGCGAGUGGCGAACGGCUGAGUAACACGUGGAGAACCUGCCCCCUCCCCCGGGAUAGCCGCCCGAAAGGACGGGUAAUACCGGAUACCCCGGGGCGCCGCAUGGCACCCCGGCUAAAGCCCCGACGGGAGGGGAUGGCUCCGCGGCCCAUCAGGUAGACGGCGGGGUGACGGCCCACCGUGCCGACAACGGGUAGCCGGGUUGAGAGACCGACCGGCCAGAUUGGGACUGAGACACGGCCCAG
This 269-nucleotide ribosomal RNA is filed under the name uncultured bacterium. RNAcentral's name for it is "partial 16S ribosomal RNA". It matches the Rfam family "Bacterial small subunit ribosomal RNA", at positions 62 to 334 of the family's 1533-position model. The record is from RNAcentral.